Acanthosepion pharaonis is the source of this 109-nucleotide non-coding RNA. NCBI's taxonomy places the organism in Eukaryota, Metazoa, Mollusca, Cephalopoda, Sepiida, Sepiidae. The record is from the annotation of a GenBank genome assembly.
GCCACAUGACAUUGAAACACUGGUUCCUGUAUGAUCACUGAAGUUAAACAAUAUUAAGCCUGGUCAGUACCAUGAUGGGUAACCACUUAGGAAUACUAGGUGAUGUAAG